Molecule: transfer RNA, 68 nt
Filed under: Marmota marmota marmota (Alpine marmot)
Lineage: Eukaryota; Metazoa; Chordata; Mammalia; Rodentia; Sciuridae
Also listed under: 1 other name
Source: Rfam by way of RNAcentral
GUGGUGGCUCAGUGGUAGAGUGCACGCCUAGCCCGUGUGAGGCCCUGGGUUCCAUCCUCAGCACCACA